UGCUAGUCUCUGCAGCUCUGAAGUAAAGUAGCCUGGCUUGCCUGACACUCUUGGUACAAAAUCUUCUCCAGCUGAGGCUCCUGCCAAGAGGAGGAGUCAGGAAGACAACUUGCACUAGAGGGAAUUUGCACGUGGACUGAAAGUGGUCAGAAAGGAGGUGUGGGCUCUGACAUCCAGCAUGGCCAGACACCAGCCAAAUCAAGCCAGAGGAUAACAUGGAAAGGAGAGAAACUCCAGAUCUAUAGAGUCCAAUCCAGGCACUUUUCAUUAGCACUGUCGCCGUGAUGCCAAAGGGAAAGCUAAGAGAGCUGCUUACUAACUAGCAAGAACAACAAGAAAGCAUCAGACUUGGUAAUUGGUUAGAGAUAGUACCCUGGGAAGAUGGGGACAAAAGGCAGUGAACUGUAACCAGCUACACACUCCAAGGUAACAGGCAGUCAGCACUGGAUUAGCAACCAAGGCAACUUUAAUAAUUUAACUA
This 481-nucleotide long non-coding RNA is filed under the name Anser brachyrhynchus (Pink-footed goose). Its description in RNAcentral is "lncRNA (ENSABRG00000008869.1)". The record is from RNAcentral. Lineage: Eukaryota; Metazoa; Chordata; Aves; Anseriformes; Anatidae.